GGGAGAAAGAGCGGUGCCAUCCCGGGGCGGGGGGAUGCCGGGGAGGGGGAGGAAUUAGGAAGGGGAGGGGAGGGGGGAGGCGAGAAGGGGAGAGGCAGGGGAAAGAGGGGAGAGUCGUGGGAGCUGGCAGAAGAGGGAAAGGGGGAGCCGAACGUGAAGGGCGAAGGGCGGGGCGGGGUAGGAGAGUCGGGGUACAAAGCAGGCAGGUGUUCAUGGCAUGGGAAGGAAGAGUAAGAAGUGGGUCAAGAAGGUGUCGUGGUACGAGGGGAAGGUGAGACUCAAGAAGGUGCCGGCUAAGAAGCUAGGGCCGGCGUGGAAGGAGAAGGUGUGGGGCGAGGAAACAACGAAGGGCAAGGAAAGAUCCCGAGGCGAAGAGACAGUCUUCAUCGAGAAGGGGCAGGGCGAGGAGGAGGGGCGUGAUCAGAGGGCGGGACGGGGCGAGGGGCCGGUGCUAGAAGAACCAAUCGCCGAGAACCCGGGGAAGGGACGGGUCCAUAAAGACCAGGUGGAGAAACAGGGGCGGGGCCGGGAGCGGAAGCAGAGCGAGGAGCAAGCCUUGGGCAAGAAACAGGAGCCCGGCCGAAAGCAAGAGCAGGGGCCGGGCCGGGAGCAGGGGCGGGGUCAGGAGCAGGGGCGGGGCCGGGAGCAAGAGCAGGGGCGGGGCCCGGAGAGGGGCAAGACCAGGCACAGUACCCUGCCCCUGGGCAGACGCCGAGCGAGGAGAAAGGGGCGAUACCAAGAGAAGUGCGAGGGUUCUAGCCACAUUAUGUGCGGCCCAGCCAUGUUCCCUGCCGGUCCUCGGUGGCCCAGAGUCCGAGUCCUGCAGGUGCUGUGGGCCCUGCUAGCAGUGCUCCUGGCGUCGCGGAGGCUGUGGGCGAUCAAGGAUUUCGAAGAAUGCACCUGGCAGGUUGUCCUGAACGAGUUUAAGAGGGUAGGCGAGAAUGGUGCGAGCGACCGCUUCUUUGAGCAAGAGCUCGUGGACACAGUCGGCAACUUGUUUCACAUGCUGGUGGACUCACCCAUCGACCCGAGGGAGAAAUACCUGGGCUUCCCUUACUACCUGAAGAUCAACUACUCCUGCGAGGAAAAGCACUCUGAGGACCUGGUGCGCAUGGGCCACCUGACGGGGCUAAAGCCCGUGGUGCUGGUCACCUUCCAGUCGCCAGUCAACUUCUACCGCUGGAAGAUAGAGCAGCUACAGAUCCAGAUGGAGGCUGCCCCCUUCCGCAGCAAAGAGCCAUGCAUAGCAGAGGAAGUGUGUAGCAUGAGCUGGUACACGCCCAUGCCUAUCAAGAAUGGCAGUGUGGUCAUGCGUGUGGACGUCAGCAGCAAUGGCCUGGGGACCUUCAUUCCAGAUAAAAGGUUCCAGGUGAAUAUCAAUGGCUUCCUGAAGAGAAACCAGGACAAUGACAUCCAAUUCACUGUGGGAGAUGAGCUCUUCAACCUGAUGCCCCAGUACUUUGUGGGUAUCUCAUCGAGGCCCUUGUGGCACACUGUGGACCAGUCACCUGUGCUCAUCCUGGGAGGCAUUCCCAAUGAGAAGUACGUCCUGAUGACCGACACCAGCUUCAAGGACUUCUCUCUGGUGGAGCUAAGCAUUGACAGUUGCUGGGUGGGCUCCUUCUACUGCCCCCAAUCUGGCUUCACAGCCACCAUCUAUGACACUGUUGCCACCGAGAGCACCCUCUUCAUUCGGCAGAACCAGCUGGUCUACUAUUUCACAGGCACCUAUACCACACUCUAUGAGAGAAACCGCGGCAGUGGCAGCUGGGUUCGUGUCCUGGCCAGCGAGUGCAUCAAGAAGCUGUGCCCUGUGUAUUUCCAUAGCAAUGGCUCUGAGUACAUAAUGGCCCUCACCACGGGCAAGCAUGAGGGUUUUGUACACUUCGGGACCAUCAGAGAUGGCCAGGUGUCCUUUGAGAUGCUGCCCAGGGAGUGGUCUGUGUGCGAGCAGAUAGGAGUUACCACCUGCUCCAUAAUUUGGUCUGACUACAUCGCGGGUGAGUAUACCCUACUGCUGCUAGUGGAGAGCGAAUAUGAAAAUGCCAGUAAACGUUUCCAGGUGGUCAGCUACAACACAGCUAAUGAUGACCUGGAACUUCUCUACCACAUCCCGGAGUUCAUCCCUGAAGCUCGAGGAUUGGAGUUCCUGAUGAUCCUAGGGACGGAGUCCUACACCAACACUGUAAUGACCCCCAAGGGCAUCUCCUGUAACCCGUACAACCACCUGAUCUUCAUCUGGGGCAACUUUCUCCUGCAGAGCUCUAACAAGGAAAACUUCAUCUACCUGGCAGACUUCCCCAAGGAACUGUCCAUCAAAUACAUGACCAGAUCGUUCCGUGGGGCUGUGGCUAUUGUCACGGAGACGGAGGAGAUCUGGUACCUCCUGGAGGGCACCUACCGGGUGUACCGGCUGUUCCCAUCCAAGGGCUGGAAGGUGCACAUCAGCUUACAGCUGAUGCAACAGUCCUCUCUCUACGCAUCCAAUGAGACCAUGCUGACCCUCUUCUACGAAGGCAGCAAACUGUACCAGCUGGUGUACCUUAUGAACAACCAGAAGGGCCAGCUGGUCAAGAGGCUUAUGCCCGUGGAACAGCUUCUGAUGUAUCAACAGCACACCAGCCACUAUGACUUGGAUCGGAAAGGGGGCUACUUGAUGCUCUCCUUCACCAACUUCUGCCCCUUCUCGGUGAUGCGCCUGAGGAACCUGCCCGGUCCGCAGAGAUACACGCGCCAGGAGCGCUACCGGGCACGGCCACCGCACGUCUUGGAGCGCUCGGGCUUCCACAACGAGAACUCGCUAGCCAUCUACCAGGGCCUUAUCUACUACCUGCUGUGGCUGCACUCCGUGUACGACAAGCCAUACGCGGACCCGGUGCACGACCCCACCUGGCGCUGGUGGGAGAAAAACAAACAAGACCAGGAUUACUACUUCUUCCUGGCGAGCAACUGGCGAAGCGCGGGCGGCGUGUUCAUAGAAAUGGACAGCUACGAAAAGAUCUACAACCUCAAGUCCGCGUACGAGCUGCCGGAGCGCAUUUUCCUGGACAAGGGCACUGAGUACAGCUUCGCCAUCUUCCUGUCGGCGCAGAGCCGCUCGUUCCGGACGAUGGCAGACCUCGGCACCGUCUUCGAGCUGCAUAGCCACGUAGACGUGGGCGUGGUGCUGGCCGACCCCGGCUGCAUCGAGGCCUCGGUGAAGCAGGAGGUCCUGAUUAAUCGCAACGCGGUGCUAUUUUCGAUUACGCUCAAGGAUAAAAAGGUUUGCUAUGACCAAGGCAUUAGUGGACACCACCUUAUGAAGUCUUCCAUGACGGUCAAUGUGGUGGGUUCAUCCGGGCUCUGCUUCCAGGAAACGCACGCGGGGGCCCGUAUGCAAGUAUUGGAGCUUGGGAUACUGGGCCCUGGGAGGGGAAGGUUGGGGUCAGGUCUCAACACGGCUAAUCCCCUGAGAAUCCCACUAAUCAUUCAUAAUUUCCUUUCUUCUCAUUCUUUCUCAUCAUUCAUCCACCCACCCACUACUACCCAUUAACUCCUUUCGUUCUUUUUUUCUUUGAGAUGGAGUUUCGCUCUUGUUGCCCGGGCUGGAGUGCGAUGGUGCAGUCUUGGCUCACUGCAACCUCCACCUCCUUGGCUCAAGUGAUUCUCCUGCUUCAGCCUCCCGAGUAGCUGGGAUUACAGGUGCCCACCACCAUGCCCAGCUAAUUUUUUGUAUUUUUAGUGGAAACAGGGUUUCUCCAUGUUGGCCAGGCUGGUCGCAAACUCCUGAACUCAAGUGAUCCACCCGCCUCAGCCUCCCAAAGUGCUAGGAUUCCAGGCAUGAGCCUCCACACCCAGCCUAACUCCUUCCAUUCAUUCAUGUUUUCAGAAAGGGCUACCUUCCCAGUUGUGCAGGUUGCACACAAGCUGAUGUGUUCCCUCUGAUAACUUUUCUGCAGAGGGAGAAUAGAGCGAGCAACAGGGCCUUUUUAUUUUUUUGAGAUGAAGUCUCACUCUUGUCCCCCAAGCUGCAGUGCAAUGGCGCAUGCAAUGGCGCAAUCUCGGCUCACUGCAACCUCUGCCUCCCGGGUUCAAGCGAUUCUUCUGCCUCAGCCUCCCAAGUAGCUAGGAUUACAGGUGCAUACCACCAUGCCUGGCUAAUUUUUUGUAUUUUAAGAAGAGAUGGAGUUUCACCAUGUUGGCCAGGCUAGUCUCAAACUCCUGACCUCAGGUGACCUGCCCACCUCGGCCUCCCAAAGUGUUGGGAUUACAAGUGUGAGCCACCACGCCUGGCCCAGGGCCACUUUUUGCAAUUGGCACAAAGGUGGCACAAGGGCUGGCCUGGCCCUGCCUUCACAUCUCUCUCUUCUUCUGCCCACUCACACAUUCCUCAUUCAGUUCUUUGGGAUCUUGGUUCUUCACUUGCUUAUAUAUGUGAUAUCGCCUUUGCCCAGGGCAGACACUGAGGCUCAGAGAGGUGCAGUGUAACCCAGGGAGCUAAUAAGUGGUAGAGGAGGGGCCUGCCCCAGAGUUCUUGUUCUCACCCACUUCCCUACCCACUCCGGGGCAUGCAGAUCCCGGUGUUCCUCUCUCCUGGGUUAGAAUGACCUUGGGCAGUCAAAAGGGAUUGUAACAGCCCCCACCUCCUUAGAGUACAUGAGAUUUCAUGUGCUAGACUGAAUAAACAAGGAGGAAGUGUGACCACAUCACAGGGUGGGCAAGGGGAAAUGUGGCGGGAUGAACUCAGAGCAGCGAUGGGGCAGAGUAAGUGGGGCCUCAUGGGCCAUGGUGCGUGAGCUGGUUCUUUGGGAGGGCUCCAAGCAGAGGAGGGACUCGAGGGUCCCCAGGGCCCAUCUGGCUGCAUGGGGUGGGGGGACAUCAAUGAGGGAACUGGAAGUAGGGAGACUCUGGAGAAGACAAGGUUGGACAAAACAGGGUGGGGGCAAAGGAGUUGGAGGUUUAAGGGAGAGAAUGAGUGGACUCUGCGUCUUUUUUUUUUUUUUUUCGAGACAGAGUCCUGCUCUGUCAGCUGGAGUGCAGUGGCGCAAUCUUGGCCUCUGUCUCCCUGGUUCAAGCUGUUCUCCUGCCUCUGCCUCCCGAGUAGCUGGGAUUACAGGCAUGCGCCACCACACCCAGCUAAUUUUUUGUAUUUUUAGUAGAGAAAGGGUUUUGCUGUGCUGGCCAGGCUAGUCUCGAACUCUGGAUUCAAGUGAUUGGCCUGCCUCGGCCUCCCAAAGUGCUGGGAUUACAGGCAUGAGCCACUGCGCCAAGCCGUUUUAAUGAUAUUAAUGACCAUAUUGCUCUUGGCGGUGAGGGAGAGCCAGGCAGUUGGUGGUGGUGUUUGUGGGAGGGGUACUGUCCUUCCUGCCCCUCACCUUUCCAGGGGCCUGAGGAGACCCUGGCCACUCCCAUGAGCCUUUUUUCCUCCCACCGAGGGCAACCUGAUGGUGCCAGUGUUCAUUGGCUGCCCUCCAGGCAAGCGUCUGGCGUUCGACAUCACCUACACUCUGGAAUACAGCCGCCUGAAGAACAAACACUACUUUGACUGCGUUCAAGUGGACCCCGAGAUGCCCUGCUUUCUCUUCCGGGACAGUGUGUGUCCAGUCCCUUCCCCUGCAUCGUUCACUGUCCUCUUGCGCCCACCACUUUGCGCUCUCCCUCCCCGCUCCUCUGCCCACAGGCUACCCACCCUCUUUCCCCCGGCAUCUCACUUUCCCCCUUCUCCGUCCUCAGCUUCUCAGGCCAGGCUAAUUUCUUCUUCCCGUCUCAACCCCCUCCAACCCCAUAGUUUUCUACCCCUUCUUCUUGAUUCAAGAUUUGGUGACAGGAGACUCCGGCAGUUUCCAGGGCAGGUAAAGGCGUGGCCAACUUGUAGCUAGGGCAGGUGGAGGGAGUGGAAGGGGAUGGGUGCAGGACUCGAGACCCGGAGACCAGUCCGUGUGCACUUCUGUCCCUGGUAGCUACGUGCUGCUGGUGGUGGGUGGCGGGCCCACACUGGACACACUCAAGGACUACAACAAGGACGAAAUCUACCGCUUCAACAGCCCCUUGGACAAGUAAUCCCUGUGGGGCCCCACGCGUAAUUGGCCUUGCUUCCCCUGGAGGCCUUUCCCACUUCCAAGCCAAGCCCACCUCAUAAGCCCCCGCCUCCGCAUCUCAGGUCCCGCCCACAGUGGGGCUCUUAGGAUCCCACAGGCAAACUCCUGCAGGGCCCCCCUAACACCAUGCCCCCUGCACCCACCUCUGGCCUCCCUCCACACUGACCACUGAGGCCAUACCUCCCCCACACCUCCCCAACCCCUGGCUGAGAUGACCUCGUCCUACACAGGACCCACAGCCUUAUCUGGACCACGAGGACCAAAAGGACCACCAAAGACUCAGCCUUCCACAUCAUGUCCCAUGAGAGCCCGGGUAUCGAAUGGCUCUGUCUGGAGAACGCCCCAUGCUAUGACAAUGUUCCCCAAGGCAUCUUCGCCCCUGAAUUCUUCUUCAAGGUGUUGGUGAGCAAUAGGUGAGCCAGAGGAGUGGACACGAGCACCUACUGCAACUACCAGCUCACCUUCCUGCUGCACAUCCACGGGCUGCCACUCAGUCCCAAGCGGGCCCUUUUCAUCCUCAUGGUGUCACUCAGCGUGUUUGUGGGCCUGGUGAUCUUCUACAUUGCCUUCUGCCUCCUGUGGCCCCUCGUGGUGAAGGGCUGCACGAUGAUCCGGUGGAAGAUAAAUGAUAUCAUUGCCUCAGAAUCCUACUACACCUAUGCCUCCAUUUCCGGAAUGUCGAGCAUGCAGUCUCUGAGACGUUCCAGGAUGGGCUCCAUGUUCAGCUCCAGGAUGACAGAGGACAAGGCUGAACCCAAGGAAGCUGUGGAGAGACAGUUGAUGACCUGAGUCUGCCGCGUGCCCCAGCCCCCAGUCACUGUCACACUUCCCCUACGAGGCCCAUCUUGAAGAUGCAGCCUGUCACCCAGCUCAGACCUCUGUUUUGCUUGAUGUUUACUUCUCGUUCAGACUCAAAUAAAGCCUUUUUUCAGGACCAGCUGUGGGCCCUCUUAA
Macaca mulatta (Rhesus monkey) is the source of this 7031-nucleotide non-coding RNA. The record is from RefSeq and is a predicted model, not a curated record. NCBI's taxonomy places the organism in Eukaryota, Metazoa, Chordata, Mammalia, Primates, Cercopithecidae.